AUCUCAGUAUGCCCUCGCCUGUCCUGGAACAAGUUUUACUCUCACAAUUGCAGCUGUGACAAGGGAUGCAACGACUUGGAAAUGUGAUCACGCUUUUGGUGGAAUGGAAAGUAAUGCUAUUGAUCUUCUUCUUCAAGAACCACAACCACCUGUUAAGGAUCGAUUCUCAGAUGGAAUUGGAACUGGGGUUGGAAUUUGCGUUCCUGUAUUUAUUGUGUUUGUGGUAGUGUUAGCAGUUCUACGAAAACAACAGUGGUUCAAAGGUGAUGCAGGCACAGGGGAAAUCAACACACUGCUGAUGUAUGUAUGAGUAUGCUUGCCAGAAAGAGUUGAUUCAAAGUCAAAACCAAAUAUGUGACAUUCUUUUAGUAUUAGUUUAUAUUUUGUAAUCCAAUAAUACAUAGUAUUUAUUUUACAUUUUCUGUAAAAUCGACUUUCAGUAAACGGUAUUGUUUCCUGAUCAAUACAACAGCUUGACUUCUAAUCAGGCAUUUGAAAUUUGCACCAUAAUUAACCAAUUAAUUGGUAAUAUAUCCAAGUUUUUUACGCAUUCCAAAGAUGGCCAUAUGAACAUAGGAUAUGAUUACAAUCAUAUUCACUUUAUAUGCUUUAGGCAUAUCUACGAAACAUUCCUUGCACUGAUGCGUUUUAAAGUUGUAUGAACGUACAUUAGGAGAGAGUAAUGUUCGGUUAAGCGAUGACAUAUUCUUUGGAAUAUAAUUAUUUGUACUCAGCAGAAUGUGCAUUUGAAAAAUAUAUAUAUAACUCUUUCUUCUACCACCUGUGCCAUUCUUUACUUGAAGGAACAAUCAAGCAAUCGAGUUGCCAUUACAAGAGCAAGCAAUUGGUCUAUACGAUGACCUCGGGCACAGAGAGACGGACAUGGCGACAUACACAGAACUGAAAGUGUAUGAAAAUGUCGGGGCCCUGCCUUCAGAAGAUACGGUGAAUGAAGACGGAAAGGCGCACCCGACACCUCAACAUGCGACACCUCGGACAUACAAGGGCUUAUUAAAUACGAAAUAACUUGUAUAUUAAUCCGUGGACGUCGGACUACCCAGACCCAAUUUAUGACAAUGUGUUUAGUAGUUACAAGUUAUAUGGUAGUAUGAGUGUUCUUUCUCGAUGUAUAUUCAAUCUUAGUUGUUAUGAUGCGAUUCGAAUGAAUAAUUACAGAUAUAUAUUAUGACAAAUUGGUAUGCAUUGCUGUUCCUGAGACAAUUUUGAAGCCGAUUAUGCGCACACAAGCACGUUGAUCAAUCACUUAUCAUGAGCACAGCAUUUAUCACGAAACGAGUAUUGUCAUUUCAUUGGUUUUCCCCAUCUAGCUACAAAAUCACUUUUUGCGAUCGUGCAUGUACCAAGGUGUGUUUAGUGUAAAAUAGUACAAUGAAUACAACUCUCAUAUCUGAUCGCACAAUGAUUGAGGAUUUGUCUUUGAAUAAGUAACCAUUUAAUUCCGCAUCCUUUCACCUCCCCAAAACUAGCAUUUAAAACACAAUGUUGUGCCUCCUUUCCAAAUUCAGAAUUAUAUCUACAGGUAAACCAGUACUACGGUAUUAUCUUUCUAACUAUGUAUAUAAAUAGUUUAUGUUCCAUUGUUUAUAUUGUUUUUACACUUAAAAUAGCACAUUGCUUCUGGUUAAUAGAAGAUCUUAUGUGAGCACCUCUCGUACAUCAGAUUAAAUUGCAUUGAAUGUCACACUCAUGUUGUCAAUUUAUGCACACUCACAUUGGUGAAUGUGUACACAAAGUUGAUAUCCCGAUUUGAAGGUUUAGGAUCAUACCAUUGUUUUCAUAGUUCUGUCUCUAGUGGUGUUUGACUGGUGUUUUACCCAUCACUACUAAUUACCUUCUCAAGUUCUAUGAAUUACAUUUGUUGCCAUAUUUAUGAACCAUCCAUUGAAUUAAUACUGAA
RNAcentral lists this long non-coding RNA (1918 nucleotides) under Haliotis rufescens (red abalone). RNAcentral describes it as "uncharacterized LOC124144112, transcript variant X2". The record is from RNAcentral. Lineage: Eukaryota; Metazoa; Mollusca; Gastropoda; Lepetellida; Haliotidae.